RNAcentral lists this transfer RNA (90 nucleotides) under Ectothiorhodospiraceae bacterium WFHF3C12. RNAcentral's name for it is "tRNA-Ser". It matches the Rfam family "tRNA". Rfam says of the family: Transfer RNA (tRNA) molecules are approximately 80 nucleotides in length. Their secondary structure includes four short double-helical elements and three loops (D, anti-codon, and T loops). Lineage: Bacteria; Pseudomonadati; Pseudomonadota; Gammaproteobacteria; Chromatiales; Ectothiorhodospiraceae. The record is from RNAcentral.
GGAGAGGUGCCGGAGUGGUCGAACGGGCUCGACUCGAAAUCGAGAGAUCCUUAGCGGGAUCCGGGGGUUCGAAUCCCUCCCUCUCCGCCA